RNAcentral lists this ribosomal RNA (267 nucleotides) under Salmonella enterica subsp. enterica serovar Agona str. 246555-3. RNAcentral's name for it is "partial 23S ribosomal RNA". It matches the Rfam family "Bacterial large subunit ribosomal RNA", at positions 2666 to 2925 of the family's 2925-position model. Lineage: Bacteria; Pseudomonadati; Pseudomonadota; Gammaproteobacteria; Enterobacterales; Enterobacteriaceae. The record is from RNAcentral.
GGGGGGCUGCUCCUAGUACGAGAGGACCGGAGUGGACGCAUCACUGGUGUUCGGGUUGUCAUGCCAAUGGCACUGCCCGGUAGCUAAAUGCGGAAGAGAUAAGUGCUGAAAGCAUCUAAGCACGAAACUUGCCCCGAGAUGAGUUCUCCCUGAGACUUAGAGUCUCCUGAAGGAACGUUGAAGACGACGACGUUGAUAGGCCGGGUGUGUAAGCGCAGCGAUGCGUUGAGCUAACCGGUACUAAUGAACCGUGAGGCUUAACCUUAC